UAAAGAUCUAGAUCCUCGGUGUGUCUCAUUUUAUAAAUCGAACCGCACCGCUUAAAAAACUGGCUGGUAAUUGACUACAAAACACGAGGAUAAGCCACUGAUCACCAGAAGAUGCGUUAAUUGCUCCGUGCGGUUUGAUGCUUCGAGAGACACAUCUGUCUGCUGAGAUUUCAGGCCGUCUUGGGGAAGGGCGUAUGGUGUAGCUGUGAUUACGCCACGAGCAGAUCCCUGUGGCGCGGCUCCAGCCCAACGGCCUGCACAAGAAUCCCUCUCCUUGCAUUUUUCAUGAGAGAGAGCAGGCCUUCUGCAUGCAGUAUUCAUGACCGCUCUUGCGUCUUCCGAACAAAGCCUGACAUAUCACUGGAUAUGCCACAAUGACACAACUAGCUGUCAGUGUGGUAAAGGUGGGUGAUGACCUGUUAACCCGGCGCUGGGUUCGGUAGCUCGCGAACACAGGGUUCUGUUUUCUUUCACUUUCGUGACAGUUAUGGAUGCCGGUUCGACCGACAGUAUCUGUUUGCAGAUCUCUGAAUCAGAUGGUUUGACUGCGUCCAUUAGUGUCUCUCUGCUGCAAAUGAACUUUAAUGGACACAUUCAGUAGUGUUCAGUACUGAUUAUUUGAGUGUCUUCCUAAAGUUAUGACUUUGUUGGCUACAAAAAACAAUUUAUUUCAUCAUAUGUACAUACACACACCAUUAGAGUCUGACUGUAUUUACUCAAUAAAUAUAAAUAUAUAAUAAAUAUAAAAAAUUAU
Long non-coding RNA from Cyprinus carpio (common carp), 754 nucleotides. The record is from Ensembl. NCBI's taxonomy places the organism in Eukaryota, Metazoa, Chordata, Actinopteri, Cypriniformes, Cyprinidae.